This 299-nucleotide ribosomal RNA is filed under the name uncultured bacterium. RNAcentral's name for it is "partial 16S ribosomal RNA". It matches the Rfam family "Bacterial small subunit ribosomal RNA", at positions 399 to 691 of the family's 1533-position model. The record is from RNAcentral.
GCGUGUGUGAAGAAGGCCUUCGGGUUGUAAAGCACUUUAGCCAGGGAAGAAAACGCUCAAGUUAAUACCUUGAGUCUUGACGGUACCUGGAGAAUAAGCACCGGCUAACUCUGUGCCAGCAGCCGCGGUAAUACAGAGGGUGCAAGCGUUAAUCGGAUUUACUGGGCGUAAAGCGUGUGUAGGCGGUUAUUCAAGUCGGUUGUGAAAUCCCCGGGCUCAACCUGGGAAUUGCUUCCGAGACUGAAUGACUAGAGUACGGUAGAGGGCGGUGGAAUUUCCGGUGUAGCGGUGAAAUGCGU